This 967-nucleotide long non-coding RNA is filed under the name Homo sapiens (human). RNAcentral's name for it is "novel transcript". Lineage: Eukaryota; Metazoa; Chordata; Mammalia; Primates; Hominidae. The record is from RNAcentral.
GGUCAUGUGGCACCUGUGAUAUUAUCUAGAAAAGUGUGACUUGAGGGAAUUUCUCCAGAAUCAAAGAUGUCUGAACGUGUCUGCAUGAACAGAACCCAGGACGCUCCUUACUAAGCAGGCUCUGCAGAACAAACGCAAGCCAGGAGGAAAAGAGGAAAACAUUAGGGAGUUGAGAACAUGCAGCAAAUAUCCUCGAAACUGUGAAUGGACAGCGCCCUGGAUCAUAAGGAGUAGAGACACCACUGACCACUCUCACUGCGCCAUGGUCACGUCUUUCAGGAAAGGGUGGUGUGACCACGAACUGCACGUCUGCUACAGGGCAGGGCUGUGGGCUUCAGGGCAUGACUGUAAACAAAUUUCAAAAAUUUUAGACACAUUUCGAAAAAUGUGAAGCCCUAAUGUCCAUCCACUUCUGGAUAUCAUUUCACAUCUAUCGUAUCUUUCCUACUUUUGAAGACUACUGCAGUUGAAAUCUUGUAAAUUCUACCAGAGGAGAACCCUGGGAUGGCCUUUCGUGAUAUGAAGAUUAAGCAGCCAUAUUUUACUCAUCCCAAUCGCAGAGCUGUUUUUAUUAUACAUUUAUGCAUCCUUUUGUAACAUACAUUUUGGGAGUUAUCCAAUGGCCAUCCAUUUUGUGAACCAGUUUGGCCCAGCUUGUGUCAAGUAGUUAGAAGCUGAGAAAGAAUGAAAGUGCACAAUUAGUCACAAAUUCUCCUCCAAUAUGUGAAUAAGAAAUUAAGCACCAUUUGCUGAUGGAUCAUCAAUAAGUAUUACAGAAAACGUAGGUGUUGAGAAGCCACAUGGCUCAUUUGACAUCACACAGCGGAGGGAAGACAGGACUGGAAACCACAACCUGAUGUCUGGAUGUUACUUUUGUGGCAGCUGUAAUUGUGAUUAUCGUUACUUCUUUGUCCCUGGUACUACAUAUUUCAUUUUAUAACACAUAAAAGUAAUUUUAUAGAAAUGU